AAGACUAUAGACCUGCGGAGUACCUGCGGAGGGAUCAUUACCGAGUUCUCGCCCCUCGCGGGGUAGACCUCCCACCCACUGUGAUCACUACCGUCGUUGCUUUGGCGGGCCGCUGGGCCCAGCCCACCGCCGGCCCCGGCUGGCGCGUGCCCGCCAGAGGCCCUACAAACGCUGGAUAUCAGUGCCGUCUGAGUACACAUGUUAAUCGUUAAAACUUUCAACAACGGAUCUCUAGAUCGG
Molecule: unclassified non-coding RNA, 240 nt
Filed under: soil metagenome
Description: partial contains 5.8S ribosomal RNA, internal transcribed spacer 2, and large subunit ribosomal RNA
Source: RNAcentral